AACGAACGCUGGCGGCAUGCCUAACACAUGCAAGUCGAACGAGACCUUCGGGACAGGUGGCGCAUGGGUGCGUAGCGCGUGGGAACCUGGCCUUAGGCUUGGGAUACCACUCUUUAGGGGGUGCUAAUACCGGAAAAUGUCCUCGGACCAAACAUUCAUCGUCUUUGGAUGGGCACGCGUUGGAUUAGCCAGUCGCUAGAGUAAAAGCCUAUCACGGGGACGAUCCAUAGCUGGGCAGAGAGGAUGAUCAGCCACACUGGGACUGAGACACGGGCCAGAAUCCUACGGGAGGGAGCAGUGGGGAAUAUUGGACAAUGGGCGAAAGCCUGAUCCAGCAAUGCCGCGUGAGUGAUGAAGGCCUUAGGGUAGUAAAGCUCUUUUAACCGGGAUGAUAAUGACAGUACCGGGAGAAUAAGCUCCGGCUAACUCCGUG
Molecule: ribosomal RNA, 433 nt
Filed under: uncultured bacterium
Lineage: Bacteria
Description: partial 16S ribosomal RNA
Rfam family: Bacterial small subunit ribosomal RNA
Source: RNAcentral